GGGCUUCAAAGACGAGAAUGAAACCGGGAAUGCGAGAAAAGUUUGACAGUAGGAGAAAAAGAUUUCAUUGUUGCCCGACUGUUGUUGGCACACAUACUUAUAAUCCUUGUCGACCUCAAGCCAGACCUUUUAGUUGGAACACCCUUUCUGCCAGGGCCAGACAGAAACAUUUAUAAAAAUGGAAACCACAUUCAAGCUAUGUAUGUGUAUGCGACUACCUGCCACUAGACGGAGGUUGCAGUGAAUGAUCGUCAACGGACGUCAACGUGAUGGAGGAUGACGGAACGCAAAGGAGCAUUGGGGCAUAGCCCUUAAUCACCCACAAUCAUUCACUGCAACCUGCAACAAAGUAGAAAAUCAGUUAGCUGAAUAACAGAAAGUCUGAAAAAUAUUUUACUAUUACCAAUUUCUUGAUAGGACGCUCGCCAC
Molecule: long non-coding RNA, 429 nt
Organism: Plodia interpunctella (Indianmeal moth)
Lineage: Eukaryota; Metazoa; Arthropoda; Insecta; Lepidoptera; Pyralidae
Exons: 3
Source: RefSeq, a predicted model, not a curated record